UCCAAUUUCCCCAACUGCUUUCACUUUAAAGCAGACUGCUGACAGAGGCGAGCCAAUGGGAAAGGUUUGUCUGACAUUUUGAUAAAAAAAAAAAAAAGCAGCCCAGACACAAGCUGGAGGACAGCAGCAUGAAUUGCUCUCCUCUCUCCCUCUCCUAUUCUCCCUUUUUCUCCUCUCCUUUCUUCAUUUCUUUUCAGUCUGUUCUUCUGCCUUUUGUUUUAAUUCCAGUCCAAUCAUGUGACGUGUUCCGCAUAAGGUUUCAAUUUCAAGCUUGCCGCUGGAGUCUGCUCACAGGCACACAUGCACACGAGUACAAAUUCACACAAGAAUGCAUGUGCGUACACCGAACUGCAGAUUCUUAUGCAUACCAUGCACACACUCCCUUCAUCCUCUCGCAUCACGAAUACACACUCUUCAGUGUAGCAACGUUUUGCGCAUAUUUCAUGUGGGUGCUGCGUGGCUUCAUUUUAUCGUUUAAACAUGGUUCCCACGAGGGCACGAAUCUCCAUCCAGAGACAUUAAUAAUCACACAUAUUCAUAAAACGCAGACACAUCACAAGACAAAUUACAUAAAAAAGAAUCCCAACAGGCUAUAUUUUCGAUCCUGCAGUCAAAAUAUAUCCCAGAGUUUAUGAUACACUAGCUGAAUUUAUAGGGUCAUCAAAUGAUCUUUUUUUCCUCUAUUUUUUCUGUCUCAAUCUUUAACACAAUGCAUCAUCUCAACACUUAAUCAUGUGGAGUUAAUGAAACCAAUAUGACAUGAGAGGAAGCCAAACAUUUCAUGACAGCAGCAAGUCCAAAACCUCAGAUCUUGAUUUUAUGUCUUCAGUCCUUAGACUCUACACUGGAGAAUAAGACAUUAAUUCUUUGCUGUGCAAUGCUGAAUGACUAAUGAGUAAGGGGUUUCAUUUUUUUUUUUUUGUAUUGAUUAUGAACACUCUGUCCUCCCCCACAGUCUGGACUUAAUGCAUGUGAGUAAUCAAAAUGCAGAUAGAGAGCUACUUCUGCUUCAUUCUAAGUGACAUUCCUAAAAGCAUGACUUGACACAUGCUAAGGGACUGUCAUGAUGAUAAUUCUCACUGAGGAGCAAAAUGAAACCAUCUCUAGCUGCGUAUAAAGGAAGAAUGUAACACAGCAUGUCUCUGAGUCCUGCUGCUUCAAGGCAAAAUGUACAAGUUGUAGCUGAGCUGUUGAGUUGAAACAUUCAUUUUGAGGUUUUUUUAUACUCUGAUUAGCUAUGUGAUUGAAGUGCCAAUCUAUGAAAUAGCAGUGAAGAGUGGUAAAAGCCCUGCUCGAUUGCUCAUCUCCAAAGUCUGCAGCCUUGCAAUGAAAAGAUAAGCCUGACUGUAAAGCUGAAAGCGUGGCUGUCCAAAGAGGAGGAGGGAUCCUUUUCAUUAACUUUCAUUAAGACUAAAGGGUGAAUUACCCUGAACAGAGGAGGUUCGGCACAUAAAAGCCAUAGGGUAGGUUAAUAUAUGCAGACUCGCUCUCUCCUGCACAGAAACACAAAUGUAAACAUGUACCUAACAAACAAGGGCAGUUAUUUUGACAUACUCUUUGCACACAAACAUGCAAAUCAACCAUUAGCCUAUUUAUAGCACACAAACAAAGCAAAGACCAUGGAAACAAAAUGCUUCUAUCGCCCAUGUACUGCUGUGCUUCUGUAUGGUACAUAAUAUGUUGUGAAGAGGUGGGCAACAGUAAGAGGGAACAGUAUUUGUAGUGGCUGGUAUAGGGCCACUGUUAAGGUGGGGAGGGGGUUAUGCAGCCUAUGUGUAUAUAAGGGGGUGCUCUGUGUGCAUGCAUCCCUCUGUGUGUAUUUGUGUGUGUCCAUAUGUGUCUGUGCUGUAUGUGCGGAGGGAGGCGAAGCAGAGCGGAGCGUUGCAGUAGGACAGCAUUUCUGAGCGGUGGUAAUUUCCCCUGAGGCCAGCGAGCAGGUAAAGGCCAGCAAGAGAGAGGGGAAGGGAGGGAGGGAGGGAGGGAGAGAGAGAAAGAGAGGAUAGAAGAGGGCUGGGAGGAAGGCAGAGAGGCGGUGAGCACGUGUGUCAGAGAAUAAUGAGGAAUGAUACAGUGGCGGUGGAAAAGAGGCCGGCAGAUUCUACCAAUCAAACGCAUACAUACACACGCAGACUGCUUUGACAGCAACUCAAGGUUGAAUUUAGUCGCUUUCAUUGUCAACACAUUAAUGUUUCAAUUUUUAUUUCAAAUGCCUUAUCUUGUAAAUGAGUCUCUCUGAACUGAGUCAUUGUUUUUCUAAUGAAUUCGUCUAUUAAUUACAAGCUCGCCUUUUCCUGAUGACCUUGCUUUAUUUUGUUACACACUGCAGACCUUAAUAUUAGCAUACAUUAAGCCCUGCUUAUCUUUCAUCCCCAAUAGCUAAUACCUUAAAUUAUCAACCCCCCUUCCCUCCCCUUAAAAAAAACUGAAUAAACCACAACCGUGACUGGUGCAGUGUGCAUAUGUCUAUGUGUGUGUUUGUGGGUGAGCACCCUCACUUAUUAGCCCCCUCCUCCCCCACUCACAAACUCAUUACCAGGGUAUAAGACCUGCGUGGAUUUUAUGGUGUUUUGGGAACUGACUGGUUAAUCAGAUUUAUUGCACACUUAAGCUUAAUUGAUUGCCUUUAUGGAUUCAAAUGAAUAAUUAAGUGCUAACAAGCCUAGUUUCUGUUUCAUCAUUCUCAAAUGAUUAUAGUGACCCACAGAGAAGCAAGGUAGUAGAAGUGUCAAUCAAAAAACGACAACGCCACAGGAUGCAUUCUGCUUUUUAUGGCCUGUUUGAUUUAAAAUCUGUUGUAAUAACUCUCAUAUCACUUAUAACACUCGCACACAUAAUCCUUUGUAUCUUCACAAACACAAAAACCAGAGAUCUACUUAUCUGUCAAAUGUUUUGCUCUUUACAGGCCCCUCAGCUGUUAUCCUUUAUGUUUCUAUGAGAAACUAAGCUAUAUACACUGUUCUGUAGCAGCGGUGAAAGGACACACAGUGUAUUAAGAUCAAGGCGGUCCAAACGGAGACAACAUAUCCUGACCUUCACAUGAUCUUCACUAGAUCAAUACUAUCAUCAGCGCAGACGAGCGGUCACAGAUUAACCCAGCCUCCUUUAACAACCCCCAAUCCAAACACACACACACACACACACACACACACACACACACACACACACACACACACACACACACUCUCUCUCUUUCCCUGUCUCUCACACACACAAUAAAACACACACCUUAUUCAGUGAGGGCCCUGGGUGUAUUGAUUGGCUUGUAUUGACUGACACACAGAAGUACCACAUGUACACACUUGCUUGUUGACUUUAUUUUUCACUGGCUAGCCUACAGUGGAUCGUGGGGAAGUCCUAUUGUAGCUGCACGGAUCCAAAAGUGCAGAAACAGAAGACAUACAUUGAUUAAUAUCCUCGAUAUGUGUGGAAAAAGACCAAAACAGGAAAAUACUUUUGUUUGUUUAAAAAAAAAAAAAAAGUCCAAACGCCUUCAAACGAAAGGAGCGUCUUCUUCCAUAUAUGCUUACAGUGGAUUAUCGAGUACAAAAAUGAUUGCUUCUGCGUUAACAUUUGCUCUUGCAAUCGAGAAAAGGACUUGCAUGUUAUUUAUCACGCGCCUCAGCGUAUGCAUUCAAACAAACAUCAAAAUCUGACUCCCCAUCAGCCAUUUCCACAAAAAUAUGCACCAAAGCAGAGAGCAAAAACAAGCAAAUCGAUGUCUACGCAUCUGCAGGUGGCCAGAAGGCAACUAACUCAAUCCCACAUCCAAUGUAAAUGUUGGUGGCGUAUCCACAGGCAAGGACUGGUAUUUAGAAGUCCAUUAACACAGGGUGGAGAUGGGUUAAUUCACUGUUUGUAGCGAGAGAUCUAGGGAGGUUUAAGGGCAUUCAGAGAGGAGGAGGGGGGCAGCAGCAAGAAAAAGAGAGGGGCUCUGAUAUUUGAUAAGAAAGAGAACAGAAAGACAAAAAUAAGUGCGUGGAGGAGAAUGUAGAAAUGUGGAGGUAGAUUUGAUGGGGGGGUGGGGGGUGUUAUGGGGAAGUGUUGUGUUGAUAGGUGGGUGUGUGUUGGUGGGAGGCAGGGGGGUUGUUUUGAGCGUUGCUGCCUGCUAUCAUCCACCUCAGCCUGGGCGUCAGUUUGAUUAAUGCUGCUUUCCUCAAACUGACCUCCAAGGUCACUGGAAUAGUGGGUACUCAGCCUCUCCUAUUCGCUGCUGCACUGGAGGGGGGUAACGGCCGUAUAAUACGCUCCCCCAGAGGCUUUCUCUCUCUGUAUUUUCUGUUUUUCCCUUUUCCUGUCUCCCUUUAAACUCUUUCACAUCCUCUCUGUCUGUCUGUCUGUCUGUUUGUGCCUCUCCUUGAUCUGCCCUUCUUCCCUUCCUACGCUCUUUAUCCCUCAUCCGCAUCCAUCUCUUUCUCCCUGCUGCCAUUUCUCUGUCUCUCUAUCUAUCUGACUCCCUUGCUCUCUAUCCACCAGUGCUCUCUAAUCUGAAAUGCAAUUAAAAGCCGCAAUAAUGUUAUGUGUUUGAAAACACUGAUGAAAGAAAAGGGGGAACAGGCCUGCGAGCGGCCCCAGCAAGGUACAUGUAAACACAAACACACACACCACCACCACCACCACCACUCAGCACCCCCCCUUCACAGACACACUGCCAAGGUGAAGGCACAUGAAUAGAGUUGUCCUACACCAAGAGACACUUGGCAAUGACACACUUCCUCUGGCUGAGAAGCUUGUGACAAGUGCUACUUAUUGUGCCAGCCGGUCUUUUCCUGGCAUGGAGCUGGCAAGAGAGGAGUCACAUACAGAGAGAGAGUGAGUGAGAGAGAAAGAGAGAGAGAGAGAGAGAGACAGAGAGUAAAUGAGGGCACUGAUUGUUCUUAAGUCGACCAACCUCCUUUGAUCAAUCAGCGAUUAGAGUUCUGUAUUGAUUUUUUUUAAAAGGCUUUACUCGACUUUAAUUUUUCUUUUAAAUGGCGAGACCAGAUUAUCUCGGCCUGAUCAUCAUUUCAGAUGUUCUUGCUUUCAGUUGACACAGUCAGCUAUUUUCUGCUCACAACCAUCAAUUAAACGCCUUUAAUGCAAACAAUAAUUGACAAAGUAAGAAUCAAUUUACUGAGAGAGGCAAAGAGCAUGUGCAUUUGUUAAACUGUGUCUAGUUGCUGUGAUCGACAUUAGAAAACACUGCCGCCACUUCUUCCUCCUCCUCCUCCUCAUUAGUACAUCUGCAUCUGCACAGUGAGGGUGUUGAUGCACAGGACUCUGCCAGGUGUUUUCUGCUCAUCACUCCAUCUUAAAGGGAGUAAAAGUUUUCAGCUGUUUGAUAAUCAUUCAAACUCAUGGAUGUCAAACUGAACUUCUGUGUUGUGUUUUCUCUCGACAGUUCCCAUAGCACUACGCCCACACGACCGCAGCCUCUUACGAUUUUUAUUCAAUGCUUCUUUGAGUCUUAACACCCACUUCAUUUCAUGAAAAGUAACUCAGGGCUAAAUUUACACAGGACAGUAAAGUCCUUUUAUGUCUACUCUUUUCUCUUAAAUUGACAUAUGGCCUAGACCCAAGUCUUACUGUGUAAGUUGGAUUGGGUCCUUUUCCCUGUAGAGUCUCAGGUUUGCGUACUAAAAUGUCUAAUACUUUAGUAAAUGCAAAUGAAUCUGUAAUGGCACACCUGUCUACCUAUCUACAUACCUAUGCAUGAAAAGUUUUCACCAAGCUAAGGUUAGCCAGCCCAUUAGUCAAGGAUUUAGACUGCAGUCCUGCUUUUCAGGGCUCCUGAUUCAACUUAGACUUGAGCAUUGGCAGCAUUUGGACUCAGAAGAGAGGGGCUCAGACUUAUUAAAUGGUAAAGACAAGGUUUCUGCGGGUUUCAACAAGUCAAAUUUAAGACUUUUUAAGACCAUAGUGAAUGGAACUUAAGAUCCAUUGUACAUCCAUACUGGCAAAAAAGUACAAAAGACAUGAAGGGAAAUCUGAACAUUUUAAACUAACUUCAAAUCAAAGUUUAUUUUGACAUUUUUAAGACCUUUCAAUUUUGUAUUUAAGACAUUUUAUGAGGGUUUUAAGACAAUUUUAGACAUUUUAAGGCCUUGAAUUAAAAUGAUUAGAUUUUAGACAUUUUAAGACUUUUUAAGACCCAGUAGAAACCCUGAAAGACUAAUACAAGUUAAAUAAAUUGGAUCAAAAUGAUUGUGUGUUCACUUUAAUGGACAAUCACAGUUUGUCUUGCUCAGCAUCAGUCCUUGUCAGAGAUGCCAUGAUUCGAGAAUUUAGCUUUUUAAGAUUUUACAGUAAAUGCAAGACAGAGCUUAGCAAAAGGUGCGGCAAGAACCACAGAAGAGAGGACAGGGGAAACCUCAAACUGGAAAAGACAUCUGUAAAGUCAGUUGGUCUGUUGAUAACCUUAAUGUCUAUUAGCCACUGAGUCAAAGGUGUUUGGCAAGCUAGAGUUUUAACCAUUAACAAGUUGGCUUCAGGUUUUUUUUGGUUUAUUGUGGAGAAUGUGUGUCCCCAUGAAGUAGGGCUGGGUGAGAAAACGAAAAAAUUAACAAUACCGAAAUUUACCACAAUAACUGACGUCAUUUUGCCAAUGUCAAUAUAAUCGGUGUCAAAAAAUAAAUAAAUAAAAGUUGGUUUUGAAUGUGUGUAGGUAGGUUAUGGUCUCAUGUCCCUUUAAGAUGCUAUCCUACAUCGGAGGCGUGACUCCACCCCAUCCAGUCCGUAACAAAGAGGCAAAGACAGGUGAGGAGAUGUGGUUCAAAAGUUGUAGCGGCUAGAGUGGUGGCUGAAGUGGAUGAAGUUAAUGUGGGAGGGGGGUAAGCAGUUUGUGGAGUAGUUAUUGUCCAUUUAUUUAUCGAGGUGAACAGCUCAAUAUAUCAUGAUACUGAUUUGAGGCCAUAUCGCCCAGCCCUACUAUCAAGUAAGGCAUGCUAUGCACACUGCUGUCUUCAAGAAAAAUUUAAAUCUACAGGCACACAAACAGAAUCUAUGACCAUUGGUAAAAAUAAAAGUAUCUAUUCAGCUUUUUAGUUGCUUUACAUGAUUUACAGCUUCAACUGUUCUUUAAUUAUUUCAGAUUCGUGUCCUUUGAAAACCCUCGUUUCAUGUCUCUGUCCGAAACACUUCAUUCUCACUUCUGUCUCUCUUUCAUGUUUACUUUCUACUAAACUUGUGUUAUCUGGAAUAAUUCUAAACGUAUCAAUGUAUGGAACCACUUCUGGUUUUUAAGUGACAGCAACAAAAAUGGACAUCUCUGUUCCAAACUUCUGCCUCUAUUCUUUUCUGCAGACAAAGCUGAACCAACGUGUUGUUUUAAAAGUAUGUGCAGAGACACCAAUUGCAUCCUGGAGAGUUAGCUACACUGUGCACGAUCAAUUUGUCUCACACUCUGUGCCCUCCACCCCUGCCAAACCCCCUCCACCCUCGUUCCUUUUUUUUCCCUCUGUCUCUCUCUCUGUUUCUUUUUUCCAGUCAGUGCCUGAGCAUGGGGGACACACAUACACACACACACACACACACACACACACAGACUCUACAGAGCAUCAUGAAUCUUUCAUGCAAGCGGGCUGUAUAAUCCCUGAGGCGUGCUCUCAGAGACCCACACACACCCUGCCUCCAUCACCUUGCACCAGGAGAGAGAGAGACAGAGAGAGAGAGAGAGAGAGAGAGAGAGAGAGAGAGAGAGAGAGAGAGAGAGAGGGCGAGUGACACGUACAGACAAAAAGAUGGAUGGAGAAAAGGAGACAUGCAGAGGGAAGGAGGAGGGAGGCAGUGGAGAAUGGAAAGGAGGGGAGAAGGGAGGGCAGGAGUGGGAGCAGCAAAAGACAAAUUGAAGGUGUGAAGUGGGACCUGGCUGGAAUUGCUUCUGUCUUUUGACCACUGAGGGAAGGAUAAAAAGGGAGGUAGAGGAGAUAACAAUAGAGAGAUUUGCUCUUAUUCUAUUCGUCCUCUGAAGGCUGCAUUGGAAAGUCAAUUGGCUUCUCAUUACCAGUCCAUGAAUGAUAGCACCACAUUAAACACUCUGUCCACCCCCAUCCUCUAAACAGCCCCCUGGAAACACACAUAUGCUGUAGACAAUGGUGUUAAGUAAAUAUUAAGACAUUUACAUUGAUGCGCAUCAGUAAUAUCAAUCAGGGCUUCAAACUUCCUUUAUCGAUGCAAUAAUGAAGGGAAUGCACAAUGAAAGAGGAAAAUGUAAUUAGACCACUCAGAAAUCAAAAACUAUUUUACGUUAUAAAGUAUCCAUCAUCGAUUUAGAUGGAUUGGUUAAACAACUAUCCAAUUAAAUUGCUGCUAAAGCACACCUGCACAUCAAUUCCCCUAAAUAUGCCAUUUCGUUUUUAAUCUGUUAAGAUAUAACCCCUUACAGUGUUGUUCAAACUGAUAAUUAACAGGAUUUAGGGCUGGGCGAUAAGCCGAAAAUUUACUGAUCCUGAAAAUUACGACAAUAACCAACGUCAUUUUGCCCAUAUUGGUAUAUUUAGUGUAAAAAAAAACAAAAAACAAAUAAAAGUUGGUUUUGGAUGUGUGUAGGUAGGCUAUGGUCUCACGUCCCUUUAAGACGCUGCCCUAAGUCAGAAACGUGACUCCACCCCAUCCCGUCAAUAACAAAGAGCGAAGGACAGGUGAGGAGAUGGAGGAUGGUUCAAAAGUUGUAGCGGCUGAAGUAGAUGAAGUUAAUGUGGGAGGGGGUGAGCAGCUUGUGGAGUCAUUAUCGUCCAUUUAUCACUAUAGAGGUGAACUGCUCAAUAUAUCGUGAUAUUGAUUUGAGGCCAUAUCGCCCAGCCCUAAAAGGACAAACACAAUCUCUUUUAAAGUUGAAAUAUUCAAUCUCAGCACUUAAAGGGGACUUUAAGUAUCUUUCAAAUGGGUUUGUACAAGCGUCACUGUUUUUGUACUAUUUGCUUCUCCAACACACACCUCUUUGGUAUGAGUCAUUAAAAAAAUGACAAAUCGUCAGACACAAACCUACAAAUAACGUCUUAGACAAAAACAAUGAGCCAGGGCACACAGAUUGUGUGUAUAAUGAUGAAAAGAUGCUGGAAAGUUCAAGUUUUGUGCCCUUUAAAUUUUCCAUUUUACAAUCUCCUCGAGGAAAGGUGGAUCACGGGGAGAUUUCUUGUUGUAUGCCACCCCUUUUCAUCCUCCUCCCUCGGAUAAAUACCACAUAAUAGCUUCCCCUACAGACUCCCAGCGCAGUUGAUUAGUGUCAUACUGGCUCUCUUUGGUGUGUCAGACUGAAUGCAGGUUGUCCAGGUUAGUUGCUAAUGGAGUGACAAUGGAGGACUCACAGGGCGCAAGACAGCACAGGGGUGGCUGCAGCUUUAAUUACCAGAGACCAGUCAACACAGCGGAAAAAAAAAAAACCCUCACACUGGCCAGAUGAGCUUAUUAUGCCCCCCAACCUCGCACCCUCACACCCCAGGCCACUGAUUUACUAUGACACUGAUUAACAAGACUGGAAGUGGAAGUGGGAGGGUGUGCAGGCACAUCUUUAAUAGUACGACUGUAGAUGUGUCUGAAAUCAUAUAUCUGUGGUAGAAGGAGCAAAUAUUAGAGCUAUUUCCCCCGUGCACACAGCAUUUAAUAAAGUCCAGAGUCAGAACAGGAUAUCUCAAGGUGUUCAAAACAACCAAGAGGAAGGUUGACUACUGGAGAAGUAAUAACUCCUUCAUGCACUGCUUUUGUUAACAACUUAUAAUUUGUGUAGAUAUAAGUGUGUAUCUUCUCAGUAUGUGUCUGAGUGUUUAUGCCACCUUAAUGCUCAACAUCCACAUUAGUGAUAUUCAUGAGUGUUUUUCAAAGCUUGCUGUGGGUGAGCACACUGACACAUUGAGAGUGUGUGUCUGUGUCCACCUUAAAUGCAUAAUGUGUGUUUUAAAGGGGCCAAUAGGUCGACCGUUUCCCUCUUUGCGGCACCUUGCCCUCACUCCCAUUACUGCUCCCUCACGGUCUCAGCUACAAUUCACAAUGCACUCUCGGUCUGAGCACCACCUACCAAAUACAAUUAAGGUGAGUUAUGACCACUCCAUAGGAGGGUGUAGGGAGGAAGGGUGGGGUGAAGUGUGCUUGUAUGAGUGGGUGGAUAUGUGUGUUAACUAAGAGAUACAUUAAAGGGGAGGGAGUGAGAGUAUGCAUCAUUGGGACAUGCGAAAAUCACCCGAGGAGAGCUACAUGUAGCAUUUUGGGGGGCACACACGCUCAUUUAUGCAUAAAUUUGAGAUCUGAAGUCAGUGAAAACAGACUGGGUCUGUACCCCAGUGGAACAGAGCAGAGGGGGAAAGUGGGUGCUAGGUGGAGAUGGAAGGUGGGAGGGAGACUGUGGGUGGUGGACAGUGCAGUGCCAAUUUCACGCCUCCGCUCAUCUCUGCCUCCUCCAGCUGCACGCUGCAUGCACUCUUCUCCUCCCCCACUCCCUAUACACACAUACACCCCUUUCUCCUAUAACUUACCCCCCCCCCUUCAAUGUAUCCCUCUACUCCCCUCCCAACCUCCUUUCUCUAGGUUGGUGCGACAACCCGGUGGUGCGGGGAUCCAUCUCCAAAUAACAACUUAGAGACACAGUAAAGAACUGCUUUAAGAGGAAAUAUAUGAGAGACAAAAAGCAACUCAGCAGCAUGAAAGACUCCCAGUCUUAUGUCCUGGUGCAGCCUUUAAGCACCCACAUCCAGCUCAAGAUGGAUGCCCGGGCUUGCUUCCUCCAUAUGCUUGGUGGAGCAAGGACAAAAAGAGGGCAAGGAGGGAAAAAAAACAGAAAAACACAACAGCAUGAUUUGCAUUCGUAAAGGUAACAUUUGUUUAUAGCGCAUGUGACACCUUGCUUAAUGACCCCACUGCUGAUUGAAGCAAGCAUCCUAAUUAAGCAUUAAUUACUCAACAAUAGAAGUGGCAAUUUGUGUGGUGGCAAUGCAACGCUGACAUAUUCCCACCUGAGCUAAUGUUUACAGAGCAUUAUUACCGUCGCCGCCUGCUGUGGUUAUGGCUAUCUAAACAGUCAUAAACGACAGCUCAGGCAUAUUGUACCACAGUUGCUCUAUGAGGAAGCAAUAUGUUUUACCCCUCUCUCUCUCUCUCUCUUCCUUUCACGGUAAACACAAGCAGACGGAAGACAAGCGGUGAGUUUCCUCCCAGGCGUUAAUUGGUAAAAGCAGAGGGAUUUACCGAGGCGUGCGGGUAGGCAGGCAUUGAGGGUUUUCCCUUUGUAGUGGCACAGUGUUUAUAGUCCUUCUGCUGCAGGCUGGGGACGCGUGGACUCUGCCUUUGUUUGCACCACAUCACACAGGGACAGGAGAUAAACCCUGCUGCGUUUCACAUCAUACAUAAACACACCAAGAGAAACACAAAUUCAAACACACCUGACAGAGAGGGGAAAAGGAUUAGAGAGCUGUUGGUGGACAGCCCGGAGAGCAAAUAUGUGUGUGAGUGUGUGUGUGUGUGUGCACGGGGGGGAAUUGGUUGAUGGUUUGUUGGUGUACGCAGGGACUUGGGUGUUCUUCCAGACACCAGGUGAGCUCAGUCUUCUGUGGACACUUCAUUUUUAAGACAAAUAUUGUACGGGUCUAUGACCACAACAGACUGGAAAAAAGAAGAUUAGAAAAAGUGGAGGAGAAAUAAGUCAAGCAGAGUUUUUAUUUCUGGAGUGAGUUAAAAGCAGUGAGUGGUGAGUGCAGUUUCUGCCGAAGUUUGAGAGGAAAAAGUUAGGGGGAUUGAAAAGGAAAAAAAGGAGUCAAUCAAGGAAACAACAAACUGUAAGCAAACUCCAAAUGCUUAUCAGAAUGGACAGUAUUGGAGAAAGAGAAGUGCUUUACAAAGUUUGUUGUUGUUUUAAUUAAGAGUAUCAUGAGGCAUGUGCUCCAAAUACUGUAAAUUAUUUUUGUCAUCAUAGGUACUGGAUACUAGGGAUGGGCGAUAUGGUCUAAAAAAUUAUCACGAUAAGGUUUGCCAUUCUGGUGAUAAGGAUAAAAGUCCCGAUACAAAAUAUUAUAAUCCCAAUCUAUAUUUCUGACUCAUUUUGUCUUGAGAACACCAGUUGGAGGAGUCAAAUAAGAUACUUAACCACAGGUUUGAGUGGUAGGUUACAGAGAAAACUAAUGACAUCAAACAAGUCUCAAAUGUGAAAACACUUUAAACAUUUGUUGAAAACUCUUAUUGCACAGAGUGAACAGCAGCAGAUCCUCUGUCAGAUGUCAGGUAUACCUGAUUGCACUUGUCUAAGCCCAAGUCUUGAAGGAAAUCCCUCAUGUGGAGCCUUGUUCAGUAACAAGCUGCUCAGAAACAUCCUCUUUAUUACCUUCGGCCAUGUUUGUUUGUUAUUCUGCUCUGUGUGGGCUAUGGCUGCGAGUCUGUCACUUGAGCUUAUGUCAUCAACUUGCAUUUAUCGUAUUUAUCAUGAGAUGGCAAAUAUUUAUCAUGGAGGAUUUUUCUGAGGAUAUAUCAUGAACGAUAAUUUAUCACCCAUCCCUACUGGAUACAUGACACUAACUCGAUACAAUGAGAAAUAAAAGCCUAUAUUCAGAAAGUAAAAACAGGCAAAUAUGAAUAUAAGAACUCAAUGAAUAUUAAAUAAUAUAUCCUGAUAUGUAUUGUGUUAAAUAUCUAGACUCCAGUGCAUCUUAAGGGGUAAUCAGACUUUGUUACAGUCUGUCUGUAAAAAGCCCAGAAUAGGGAUUUCACCCGAGGCAUCCACCCAUGUCUGUGGGCUAACUAACCAACAGGAGAAUUAGCCCAUUCCUGCGCCGUCAUUCCCUUGGCUCAUUUCUCCCAACCCCUAAAUUAGUGAAAUUUUCACAAAGCGAGGACACAUUAGGGAGGGAUCAGGGCAAAUGGCACAUUAUGAGUACUGUCAGAAGUGGCCUAUUAAAGAGGAUUCAGACAUUAUCGACGCCUACAUACCUGGAGAACAAUCUCAGUUAAGUUAAUAAUGUGCAAUUAAUCAUAGGUCACUUAGCUCAGGAUGGGGUAUAACAUGCUGCUAUGGAAGCGGGCCUAAUCUGCUGUCCAUCCGUCCAAAAGAAGAGCGAGAUGGAUAGAAGAAGGUUGGAAAACUGUUAUCUACUAUGAGCUGGGUUUGGUUUUUGACAGCUCGCCAGAUAUGAAUGAGUGAAGCUUUACCACUUGUCAUCCGGCCAAAAGCUUUACUUCGCAAGGCCUUUAGGGUCCUUCCUGUUCCAUUUCAUGUGAGUAUACACAAACAUGUUGCACAGGAACUGACGGACAUAUUAUUUAAUGUAGUUAGCACUGUACACAGCUUCUCUGGUUGACUUGGUUAAAGGGAUAUUCCAGUGUAAAAUUAAGUCAGGGUUAUACACUCCAUAACACCGAGUUAGACACCCCGUCGAGAGAUGAGUGUUGCCGACCCCUUGCUUCUCUAGUUAUACCAACUUUAGUAACGACCAUAUGAUAGCAAUACAGAGAGCUAUGCGCUCAAACAAAAAGCCACUCUAUAGCCACAAAUAAUGCUCAGAACAGCCGCUAACUUCAUCAACAGGACAUAUAGAGUCCCAGCCAUAGUGCUAGCCAUCAAGCAUCUUUUUAGCUUUGCCUAAUUUCGUUAGCAAAGAGACUAAACAAAACUCACCUACUCUCUUCUAGCAGCCGCUUGCUUGUAGUGAGACCUCAGGCCAGUCCAUUACUGCAGCAGGGGGGACGCAGCUCAAGGAAGAACAUUUAUGAUCAUUUCUUCAUGGAAAUGCAAUCAGACUGAGAUACUAAGGCAGAAGAACUACCACGUCUGUAGUGCAAAAUGAUUAAUACGAUGAUUAUUACCUUAAGGAAAUGAUAAAGUAAUGAUCAUAAAUGUUCUUCCUUGUGCUGUGUCACCCCGCUGCGGUAAUAGACUUGCCUGAGGUUUCCAUACAAACAAGCAGCUGCUGGAGGAGAGUAGGUGAGUUGUGUUUAGUCUUUUUGCUAAAGAAAUUAGUCAAAGUUAAAAAGAUGUUUGGUGGCUAGUACUAUGGCUAGGACCCUAUAUGUUUUGUUGAUGAAGUUAGGUGCUGUUAUGAGCAUUAUUUGUGGUAAUAGAGUGGCUUUUUUGUUGAGGUUUGUUUAUGGCUCCUCAGACUGCUGUGUAUUGCUAUCAUGCAGUCGUUACUAAAGUUGGUAUAACUAGAGAAGCAAGUCGUCCGCAAGAUUAAUCUCUCAAGGGGGUGUCCAACUCAUUGUUACGGUGUGUUUGACCCCAACUUAAUUAUACGCUGGAAUAUCCCUUUAACCUUCAACAAGAAGCUCCUGAGAUACCUGAUAAAUGUGAUUGUCCAUUUGUCAAGUUUAAACCAUCAAAAGUGUCCAACAAUGAAAAUUUUUCUGAGUACAACAAUCUCUCAAACCGCUCUAUUUUGCCUCUAUUGGUCACUGUCCUUCUGUGUCGAUAUAAAAGGCUUCUUCCAAGUUCACAGAAACAAAAUUAACUUUUACGUUCAGGUAAAAAUCAGCUAAUUUAAACAUGAAUACAAACAUUAAAUCCUUCUAAAUCUUAAAUUGAAACUUUAAGGUCCCAUUUCCCCUUACCUGAUUUUUUUUCACUCCUUUGCAAACAGAAUAUAAGUCACGGGUCACCAUUUUUCCUACCUCUCCAUGUUUUACAAAUGUGCGACAUACAAAAAUCGUUGUGCAUCUAUCAGUCUACGGAAGUACAUCAUGUUUUCUCAGCCAGAGAGAGAAAAAAAAGAGGAAAAAACACGGGAUAAAGUGAGGAUGGAGAGGCAUGUAGGUGUAAGAAGACGGACAGGUACCACAGACAGAGGAUAAGGGAGUAUAAUCUGAUAUCAAAACAGCAAUGGAAAAGAAAUAGGGACCUAAUCCAUCGCACAGUGACAGGAAAAAGAUGGAAGGGAUGGAGAGGAUGAGAGAGAGAGGUGGAGGAACGGAGGGAGUGAGAGGAGACAAGCAGGGGAAAAAUUCACUUCCACAGUUGGCUGAUCUAGGAAAUCCUGCAAUCUUGCCGCAGCCGGAAAGCAGAAGUAGAUGAGCCAUGUCUCUCCAUCUCUCAGCCCUUCUCUCUAUCCAUCUUCCUCCCUUCCUUUCCUCUCUCACUCAUUCUUCACAUGAGUUCACUUCUCUCUUUUCCCCUCACUCCUUUGUUCUCUUCCCCACUAUCUUUACUACAUCGUCUGUUGCUUCCUGAACUGGCUCAGUCCCCCCCCUGCCUUCGACCCCCACAUCCCUCUUCUUUCCUCUCAUGAUGUCCGGAGCUGUUUGACUAGCGCUCGAGCCAGACUAUAGCCCCCAGUGGGCUCAUUUCACACCUCCAGGCUUGAUGCCAGCCAGUCGGUCAGCAUGUGGUGUUACAGCUGACAGACAGACAGCGCCUGGCGCUCUGUCGGCCCUGAUUAGCAUGCACACGGUGAAGUGGGAGGAAGAGUAGGAGAAAGAAAGAAAUGCUGAAGUGCUGCAAGUUAAUUUACUCCCCCAUUUGAGUUUGGGCGGAGAGAGUUUUGUGAGUCUGUUUGCCCGCUUUUACAUUGUUUGAUAUCUAUACCAUGAGUGUAUAGCGCUCAGUGUGCGUGUGUGUCUGAGUGUGUGUAAUCGUACAGAAUACCAAUUGUUGGUGCAACAGUCAAAGCCCCCAGGCUCCUUCAUUGUACUUCACAGCAAACCACCAAUCACCAGUGAAAGCCCACUUUGCUCCAUAAAAACAAUAAAGACAACUCUCCAUGCUUUGUAGAAUAAUAACUGAAAAGAGGGGAAGGGGGGGGGGGUGUCUCACAUAUUACAUAGCAGGUCAAGUAUGGAUGAGCGUGCGCAUUGUAUAAUGGCAGGAGUAAACGGUGCACAACAAGGACAAAUUGAGAUGCUCUAACAAAGCAAUUACAUCUUCUAAUAAAGCUGUAAUUGUGUUUCAUUAUGGCGAGACGACAUCUAUUUGCAUCAUUCUUUAUUCCCUCGUUCAUUGAGUAGUGCCUGCUUGCUAACCUCUGACUGGCUCAAACAAUGCUUAUUAUGCUUAUGGUGGAGGACGCACAAACACUUCCAACACACAACCGCACGCACACACAUGUGCUGUCAGACAAUGAAGUAAAGGGAAGCCUCCAGCGUCACGGCGUAGAUCUCUCCAUUGAGAACCUGUAAUUAUAAAGCCCGUCUCAAGAUAAAUCAAUUAACGCCAACAUAUAGCUUUUAAUUUAAUCCGGAGCUAAUUAAAGUGAGGAGACAUGUGAGAGGGAGAGAGGGAGGGAGGGAGAUAGAGGAGAGGGUGGUGGUGGUGGAGGUAAGACAGUACAGGAGGUGUGUGUGUGUGUGUGCAUGUGUGUGUCUGCGUGUGUUUGCACGGAGGAUGGGGGAUUGUCUCAGUCCCCUGGUUCAACCUUGCUCAGCAGAGAUGAUUGAAAUGAACUCCGUCGGCACUUUGGUUCUGGGAUCUCCGCUGUUGGCCCAACAUCACUGAACGUCACCUGGAGCUGUCUGACUGACAGGUGACACUUUAAUUGAAAUAGUUUUUCUGCUCAUUAAAGGAAGGAGAGUUAACCUUGAACAGGACAGACAUGACUAAAUGCUUAAAAGCAGACAGACUUAAAAAAAGCAGUUUGACUGGAAGAAGCUUUUUUUAUGCCUGGUAGAUGCAAGGAAAUCGACACAGGGCUGGGGCUGCCAACUGAGUAUCUGAUUACCCAGAAUGGAGGAGAAGAAAGACACUUUUAGUUCUGCUUUUGCCAUGCCAACAGCCUAUUUAUGAGAUUGAACUUUAUGGUAUCAAAAUAGAUGCAAUUUUUAAGCACAAGAUAGACUGGAUAUUCAUGAGACGUGUCUGAUAAAACCUGAACUGUCCUCCAUUUGGCCAUAGCUGCAGUUCAGUGGUUCAGAAUAUGUUUAUUACACGGUGUUAUGACUUUUUAGAGUUCAUAAUUUGACUCUUUAAAGUAAGAAAAGCAGAGAUUAGCAGAUAACAUGAACAAAGUCAGGAGUUUGAUGUCAAGGCAGUGGGUUAGCAUGCACUGAUAAAUCAACUAAAAGGAAUUUAUCAACUCUCUCACACUAAACCCAAAGAUGAGCCAAGUAUGACUGCUUUGAUAAGUACCAAGUAAGAUAUAGUAGAUACAGUGCUCAGGAAGUGACCUGGCACCUCUCUAGCUACCAGGCCAAAGACCAGAUAUGAAUUAGUAGGGCUGGGUGAUAUGGCCUUAAAACAAUAUCAGGAUAUAUUGAUCAGUUCACCUCAAUAAUGAUAAAUAGACGAUAACUACUCCACAAGCUGCUCACCCCCUCCUACAUUAACUUUGUCUACUUCAGCCACUACAACUUUUGAACCGUCCUCCAUCUCCUCACCUGUCUUUCCCUCUUUGUUACUGAUUUAAGGGGGUGGAGUCAUGUCUCUGAUGUAGGACAGCGUCUUAAAGGGACAUGAGACCAUAGUCUACCUACACACAUCCAAAACCAACUUUUAUUUAUUUUUGUUUUUGACACCGAAUAUAUUGACAUGGGCAAAAUAAGGCUGGUUAUUGUGGUAAAUUUCAGUAUCAGUAAAUUUUUGGUUAAUCGCCCAGCCCUAAGAUAUAGUCAAUAUAAACAGCAGGUCAACGUUUCAACACACUCUGGGUGCUGACUGAUGUAGUAGUUUAUCUGCACACCUGAUAGACUGUACAAAGAAAUGAACAGAACAGAUUUCAUGUGUGAAGUCGUGGUGUCUAAGAUAAGAUAAUCUUAUGAUAAUAAGAUUAUUAUCUUAUUAUUAUAAUAAGAUAAGCUGUCUCAGUCCAUCUAGGAUUCACAGGCUUCUUCUGAUAUUAGUGUGGCCUAAGACACUUUUUUUUAUGUUUGCAAAAGUUGCGAUGCAAGUUACUACAUUUCUAGGCUUUUUAGUAAAACUUAUCCAUGCCAGACAUUAACUUUGAGGGAUGUUACAUGUUGACACCUGCUGGGAAAAUCGCUGAAAUUUAGCAAAAGUGUGAAAUUAUAAAAAAGCUGCAGGGUUCGGUUGCAAUUGCACGACUUUGCUGCAUCAAGAUAUUACAACUUCCUGUGGUGAUACUUGCAAAUCUGGCUUUGCUCAUUUAACUACAUGCAUAGUGGACUAUAUAAUGUAGAAUCAGAUCUCUGAGAUGAAAUAGGCUUCAUGAUACAGACCUAGUAAGAAACUAUUAAAUGUUGGCGUCCGUGAAAUGCAACUUCAGCUUCUCUUAAAGCUUUAAUUUUUUUAUAAGGAUGUAAUGCAAGUAAAACCUGUGUGAGCAUUUAAUUUGGAAAUUCACACUAAGCCAAAGAUUACACUUGGGGGAACUAAGAUAUACGCCCAGUUAUGAAUAUAAAUCACAGAUUAUUAAACUCUUUUUUUAAGGUAUUUGGAAAGUGGUGUCACAACUCCAAACUAAUCAAAGAGAGAAAACAAAAUAAUGAGUAAAAGAAAAACUACUGAACGACAGAGAGCAGUGACAGACCUCUCCGCUAUCCUCUCUCAUUAUUUGGUCACAGGACACACUGCGAGGUGACAGCAUAUUGUGUUGCACAGACAAUCACACGUUCACACACCAAGUCUCAGAGGCAAAAAUCUACAAUAGCACGAUUUAUCUCACACUGCUCUUAUUGAUCUUCAGCUUUCUUGUGGGUUGCCCGCGUUCACAGUUAGCGCGAGUUGAAAACUGGCAUUAGAGGCUGGCACAUCAUUAGGAGAAGAGACAGGACAAGCAGGAGUUUGUGGGCGGUGUAAAUGGACAAUAUUGUCGUCAAUUAGAGCAAACUUUUGACUCGACUUCUGCUUCUUUGUCACCAACACUGCUGUUGUAUUUUUAAUCUUCGCUAAUUUACCGGCGCUCACGCAAACUAACACAAAUAUUGGUCUUUUCCUUACUAUUAAAAAAAAAUGCAAUUUAGGGACGACAACAGCUCAUGAAUAAAACAACAACAGAGAAAAACGCUAAGGGAGAGUUAUUCAUCUACGUGUCUUUAAAUGAUACUCAUGGAUCAUGUUAGUGAGCUUUAAAUGAGUGAAGUUGAGACGUGGCUGGAGGGAAGCGGACUGAAGCGCUGCCUGGUUACUUGGAUGACAAAGCUGCCUUUCAGACACUCUGGGUAAUUAAAGUCACAAAUGAGGGAUUUAGUUAUUAUACAUAUUUGGGGGGGAAAGGAAGAGAAAGACACAAGCGCAUGAGAACUAAGGGAAAAGAGGAUGGAUAGAGAAACAGAGACAAAUGAGAGGAAAACAGAUAAGAGAUUAAUUGGACGAUAUACCAUCUGUCCAUCUAAUACAUCAACUAGCUACACUGCUGUUAUGUUUCCAACAAAGACAUCAAAUCUCUAUUAUUUUUAAUACUUGCAUACACUAUAAUCCAUAUUGACACAACAUAUUGAGGGAUUAUGUGUGUGUACAUAGAGCACAUGACCGUUCUCUCUAACCCUCUGUGCCCUAGGGGAUCAUAAAAUGCUCAUUAAUUCCUUAAAUUAGCUUAAACGCCCUUAUUGAACGCCACCUUCAUCAUUAUUUUUUUGCUUAUUAACUAUUCCUUAAGUGGGCUGCCGAGGGUCCUGUCAGGUCAAAGGGACGGUAUGUGUAUGCGCGCGUGUCACGGGGAGAGGGAAAAGCCAGCACAGAGGCAGACCUAACCCUCUCUUAUCCCCAUGUCUCUCUCACUCGCCGAGCGCAGGGGCCUAUCGCUGUUGCCUUGGUGACGCUGGCUGGCAGCCUGAUAGGAAAAGAGGCUGGCAAAUGGAAAAUGUCAAUUACUGCCGGAGAUAUGUAGAUCUGAGUGAGAGGCUGCCGCAGACGGGGAAUGAGGAAGAGGAGGGAAAAAGGGGGGGAAAAGAGGAAGAGAAGAACGGUUGAGGAGAAUACCAAAUGUAAAGAGGUGCGGUGUGGUGUAUGAGACUGCAGCGGGGAAGAGACAGAGAAGAGGAUGGAAAGAGACAGGGGAGAGGGAAGUUGAUGGCCAAAUAUAGCAGGAGGUUACAGAGAGGUGGGGGUGGGAGAGGGAGGGGGUGAUGGCACGGGGGUGUUAAUGCAGGAGAUGAGAGGCCGAAUUGAGCGCUAGCUGCUGACAGGGAACGUCUGUCCACAUCUAUUAUAACACCUUUCCUUUCUCUUAGGCGAGGAGCGAGGCUGCAUGGUUGUGUUCAUUAUUCGUCUCUUUUCUCCGUCUCUAUCUCCCAUCCACAACUUCACCACCAGCCUUCUACCUCUAACUGGCAAUUUGAUUAGGCCAGGGAGAUAAGGUCACACAGGAGAGGAGAAGAGAGGAGGGUAGGAGAGGGGAGAGAGUAGGGGGGGAAACAGAGCAAGAGCCAUUCUGGUGUAAUCACAGCAUUGAUCUCCUAAGCAUGUGGCCUGUGUAGAUUAUGGGACUGAGUUAGGUCCAUCAUUGGCUUUGGAAUCCAAGAUAAGUGUGCGCCUGCCUGGCUGUGUGUAUACGACUGAAUCCAGCGACGCAGUUAAUCAUGCAUGCAUACCCUGCAUGGUGCAUAUGUGCCUCCCCUAUUUAUGUGUCUUAAGGUGGAUGUAUGCAUCUGCUAGGUGUGUGUAUGUGUUUAUAUGUGCAUUACAAGAUGAGUGUCCUGUUUCAGUGUGUAUCAGUCAUCCUAAGUUGAAUUAAUGUGUCCCUACCCCCAUUCCAAUUUCCAUCGGAGGUCUCUUGACCCUCCCACUCUGCAGACACAUAAUGGUCCAUUUGGGGUUUAGCAGCAGGCAUUACCAAGGGUGCAUGGAGACAGUGAGCGAGACUGUAUUUCCAUAAGACUGGGACACAGAGGCCCUUCUAUACAUAUAUUACCCCCCUUUGUGUCUGAGGGGUCUCAUGUGGCAUUUGUCUACUACACCGGUAGAAAGAUGCACUACCCAGGGAGAAAUGCAAAGGACACACAAGACAGGAUGCAUACGCAGCCUGAUGUGAAAAUACACAAUUCAUAUACUGUACACAUAAGAACUCCUAUAGCUGUUAUCACACAUACAUAGACACUAAUAUAUUCAAACACACACACACACACACAUGAAUGCAGACAUAUACGCAGAUAUGUGAGAUAUAAAGGGAGCCACACAGCAGCCUGACUGUGAUUGACACUGAUAAGUUCUGAAGAGAGACACCCUACCUUUGCUGUCAUAACAUCACCGUACAGUCUCAACACCUUGAUGUAUUAGAGAUCUGUGUAACCUAUUGUAAAGAGCGACUAUUUUUUAAGUGGUUAUGAAACAGUCUCGAUUUAACGUCGAUUCCUCUAUGUGACCUGUGGAAAUGUAACAGAUGUAAGCUACUGCAGAAGAUCGGCUGUAGUUAUUUUUAACACCUGUCUCUGCUGUCACUGAGUCCCACUUCAGCGCAGUAAUUCACGGCAAACUGGCAGGAGUCUUGAUUUCUCCUGCAAUGUUUCGCUGUGAGUGAAUGAGCGUGGAUGACGGUUGAAAAGAAGCGGUAGAGAGUUCAGGUUUGGAUCCCUGGUUGAGCUGUUUGCCCUAUAUGCAGGGGCUAUAGUCUUCAAUGCAGGAAGCUCGGGUUUAGACCCAGCCUGUGGCCCCUCACCUCAUGUCAUUCCACACUCUCUCUUUCCAGUUUGCCACUCUAUCACUGUCCUUUCCCUUGAAACAAAGCCUAAAACGCCCUGCUGCUUUAUAACUGAUGCAACAAAUCAGUAUCUUGUUUUACUACAAGCCAAGAAUCAGUUAUCUGAUUCUAAAGAGUGAAAAAGGUACAGAGCCAGGGAGGUGACAUGAACUUUUACUUUUUUUAAUUUACACGGGCAAUUUAGUUUCUUGCACGUGUUUUAUAUGUAUCUCACACAUGCGUUUAAAACGUAUCUCGUAAGUGCGUUUUAUCUGUAUCUUGUGCAUGCGUUGUUGUAAAUAAUCCUGUGCACGCCCCAUUUUUGAGAGAAGACUGACAGUGUCAUGAACAGAGAGCAUAUUAUCAACACUUUCUUUAAUUUAGGUAUGAGUCACAAAGAGAUACUAAAUAGCUUAGCCACAGUUGGUAUUGUUUCGAGUAUGAGACACCUCAUCAGGAUCCUUAAAGCAUAGUGACUUUGCUGUCAGCGAUAUUUGGACUUGCAGGAAGUGAUUUUGUUUAUUAAUGAACAGUUAAAUCGUACUUGCGAUAUAAUAAAAUGACCUGUGAAAUAUUAAAAUGAAAAAAGAAGCUAAUGUCACCUCCCAGGCUCUGUAAAAAGGUUUUUAAUGCAGCAAGAAAAAAAUUACAUCUUUUUUUUUUUUUUUUGUCUUUUUUACAGGGCACAUGUGUACAAGAAAGGGUCAGCAAAGAGAGCUGAGGUAAAGCAAGAUGUCGCCAAAGUUUAUAAGAAAAGGAAGCGCCUCACAGCUGCCUGAAGUAUUCGUCUUUAUGUUUCUGUUUUUGACCCCGCUGAGUAGGGCUGGGCGAUAAACCGAAAAUGUACAAUUACUGAUGUCAUUUUGCCCAUAUUGGUAUAAUCGGU
Xyrichtys novacula (pearly razorfish) is the source of this 22332-nucleotide non-coding RNA. Lineage: Eukaryota; Metazoa; Chordata; Actinopteri; Labriformes; Labridae. The record is from the annotation of a GenBank genome assembly.